AGUCUGCUGUGAAGCCCGGGCUCACUGGAAUGCAGUGAUACUGGCAGCUAGAGUGCGUAGAGGGUAGUGAAUCCCGUGUAGCGGUGAAAUGCGUAGAGAUCGGGAGGAACACCAGUGGCGAAGGCGGCUACCUGGACCAGCACUGACACUGAAGCACGAAAGCGUGGGGAGCAAACAGGAUUAGAUACCUGGUAGUCCACGCCCUAAACGAUGCGAACUGGACGUUGGGAGCAACUUGGCUCUCAGUGUCGAAGCUAACGCGUUAAGUUCGCCGCCUGGGGAGUACGGUCGCAAGACUGAAACUCAAAGGAAUUGACGGGGGCCCGCACAAGCGGUGGAGUAUGUGGUUUAAUUCGAUGCAACGCGCAGAACCUUACCUGGCCUUGACAUGUCCGGAACUGCCCAGAGAUGGGCGGGUGCCUUCGGGAAUCGGAACACAGGUGCUGCAUGGCUGUCGUCAGCUCGUGUCGUGAGAUGUUGGGUUAAGUCCCGCAACGAGCGCAACCCUUGUCCUUAGUUGCCAGCACGUAAUGGUGGGAACUCUAAGGAGACUGCCGGUGACAAACCGGAGGAAGGUGGGGAUGACGUCAAGUCAUCAUGGCCCUUACGGCCAGGGCUACACACGUACUACAAUGGUGGGUACAGAGGGUUGCGAAGCCGCGAGGCGAAGCCAAUCCCAGAAAACCCAUCUCAGUCCGGAUCGGAGUCUGCAACUCGACUCCGUGAAGUCGGAAUCGCUAGUAAUCGCGAAUCAGCAUUGUCGCGGUGAAUACGUUCCCGGGCCUUGUACACACCGCCCGUCACACCAUGGGAGUUGGUUGCUCCAGAAGCAGGUAGUCUAACCGCAAGGGGGACGCUUGCCACGGAGUGGUCAAUGACUGGGGUGAAGUCGUAACAAGGUAACC
Molecule: ribosomal RNA, 905 nt
Filed under: uncultured soil bacterium
Lineage: Bacteria
Description: bacterial SSU rRNA
Rfam family: Bacterial small subunit ribosomal RNA
Source: RNAcentral